This 2250-nucleotide ribosomal RNA is filed under the name Campylobacter coli. RNAcentral's name for it is "partial 23S ribosomal RNA". It matches the Rfam family "Bacterial large subunit ribosomal RNA", at positions 1 to 2101 of the family's 2925-position model. The record is from RNAcentral. Lineage: Bacteria; Pseudomonadati; Campylobacterota; Epsilonproteobacteria; Campylobacterales; Campylobacteraceae.
AAAAAAGGUAAGCUACUAAGAGCGAAUGGUGGAUGCCUUGACUGGUAAAGGCGAUGAAGGACGUACUAGACUGCGAUAAGCUACGGGGAGCUGUCAAGAAGCUUUGAUCCGUAGAUUUCCGAAUGGGGCAACCCAAUGUAUAGAGAUAUACAUUACCUAUAUAGGAGCGAACGAGGGGAAUUGAAACAUCUUAGUACCCUCAGGAAAAGAAAUCAAUAGAGAUUGCGUCAGUAGCGGCGAGCGAAAGCGCAAGAGGGCAAACCCAGUGCUUGCACUGGGGGUUGUAGGACUGCAAUGUGCAAGAGGUGAGUUUAGCAGAACAUUCUGGAAAGUAUAGCCAUAGAGGGUGAUAGUCCCGUAUGCGAAAAACAAACCUUAGCUAGCAGUAUCCUGAGUAGGGCGGGACACGAGAAAUCCUGUCUGAAGCUGGGUCGACCACGAUCCAACCCUAAAUACUAAUACCAGAUCGAUAGUGCACAAGUACCGUGAGGGAAAGGUGAAAAGAACUGAGGUGAUCAGAGUGAAAUAGAACCUGAAACCAUUUGCUUACAAUCAUUCAGAGCCCUAUGUAGCAAUACAGGGUGAUGGACUGCCUUUUGCAUAAUGAGCCUGCGAGUUGUGGUGUCUGGCAAGGUUAAGCAAACGCGAAGCCGUAGCGAAAGCGAGUCUGAAUAGGGCGCUUAGUCAGAUGCUGCAGACCCGAAACGAAGUGAUCUAUCCAUGAGCAAGUUGAAGCUAGUGUAAGAACUAGUGGAGGACUGAACCCAUAGGCGUUGAAAAGCCCCGGGAUGACUUGUGGAUAGGGGUGAAAGGCCAAUCAAACUUCGUGAUAGCUGGUUCUCUCCGAAAUAUAUUUAGGUAUAGCGUUGUGUCGUAAUAUAAGGGGGUAGAGCACUGAAUGGGCUAGGGCAUACACCAAUGUACCAAACCCUAUCAAACUCCGAAUACCUUAUAUGUAAUCACAGCAGUCAGGCGGCGAGUGAUAAAAUCCGUCGUCAAGAGGGAAACAACCCAGACUACCAGCUAAGGUCCCUAAAUCUUACUUAAGUGGAAAACGAUGUGAAGUUACUUAAACAACCAGGAGGUUGGCUUAGAAGCAGCCAUCCUUUAAAGAAAGCGUAAUAGCUCACUGGUCUAGUGAUUUUGCGCGGAAAAUAUAACGGGGCUAAAGUAAGUACCGAAGCUGUAGACUUGCGCACAACUUAGAUUAUUUAAGUUUAGAAUAUGAGAAACUAAGUUAUAUGUUUAGUUAUAUUUUUACUGAUUUUUAUAGAGUAAAGAUAGAAAUAAAACUUAGUAAAAUCAGUAAAAAUAUUCUUAGACUAAAGUUAAGUAGUUUAAGUUGUGUGCAAGUGGUAGGAGAGCGUUCUAUUUGCGUCGAAGGUAUACCGGUAAGGAGUGCUGGAGCGAAUAGAAGUGAGCAUGCAGGCAUGAGUAGCGAUAAUUAAUGUGAGAAUCAUUAACGCCGUAAACCCAAGGUUUCCUACGCGAUGCUCGUCAUCGUAGGGUUAGUCGGGUCCUAAGCCGAGUCCGAAAGGGGUAGGCGAUGGCAAAUUGGUUAAUAUUCCAAUACCAACAUUAGUGUGCGAUGGAAGGACGCUUAGGGCUAAGGGGGCUAGCGGAUGGAAGUGCUAGUCUAAGGUCGUAGGAGGUUAUAUAGGCAAAUCCGUAUAACAAUACUCCGAGAACUGAAAGGCUUUUUGAAGUCUUCGGAUGGAUAGAAGAACCCCUGAUGCCGUCGAGCCAAGAAAAGUUUCUAAGUUUAGCUAAUGUUGCCCGUACCGUAAACCGACACAGGUGGGUGGGAUGAGUAUUCUAAGGCGCGUGGAAGAACUCUCUUUAAGGAACUCUGCAAAAUAGCACCGUAUCUUCGGUAUAAGGUGUGGUUCGCUUCGUACUAGGAUUUACUCCGAAAGCGAAGAAACUUACAACAAAGAGUCCCUCCCGACUGUUUACCAAAAACACAGCACUCUGCUAACUCGUAAGAGGAUGUAUAGGGUGUGACGCCUGCCCGGUGCUCGAAGGUUAAUUGAUGGGGUUAGCAUUAGCGAAGCUCUUGAUCGAAGCCCGAGUAAACGGCGGCCGUAACUAUAACGGUCCUAAGGUAGCGAAAUUCCUUGUCGGUUAAAUACCGACCUGCAUGAAUGGCGUAACGAGAUGGGAGCUGUCUCAAAGAGGGAUCCAGUGAAAUUGUAGUGGAGGUGAAAAUUCCUCCUACCCGCGGCAAGACGGAAAGACCCCGUGGACCUU